AGUGAACGCUGGCGGUAGGCCUAACACAUGCAAGUCGAACGGCAGCACAGUAAGAGCUUGCUCUUACGGGUGGCGAGUGGCGGACGGGUGAGGAAUACAUCGGAAUCUACUUUUUCGUGGGGGAUAACGUAGGGAAACUUACGCUAAUACCGCAUACGACCUACGGGUGAAAGCAGGGGAUCUUCGGACCUUGCGCGAUUGAAUGAGCCGAUGUCGGAUUAGCUAGUUGGCGGGGUAAAGGCCCACCAAGGCGACGAUCCGUAGCUGGUCUGAGAGGAUGAUCGGCCACACUGGAGCUGAGACACGGUCCAGACUCCUACGGUAGGCAGCAGUGGGGAAUAUUGGACAAUGGGGGCAAGCCUGAUCCAGCCAUACCGCGUGGGUGAAGAAGGCCUUCGGGUUGUAAAGCCCUUUUGUUGGGAAAGAAAAGCAGCAGGUUAAUACCCCGCUGUUCUGACGGUACCCAAAGAAUAAGCACCGGCUAACUUCGUG
Molecule: ribosomal RNA, 492 nt
Filed under: uncultured bacterium
Lineage: Bacteria
Description: partial 16S ribosomal RNA
Rfam family: Bacterial small subunit ribosomal RNA
Source: RNAcentral